This is a long non-coding RNA of Salvelinus namaycush (lake trout), 1181 nucleotides long. RefSeq lists it as uncharacterized. NCBI's taxonomy places the organism in Eukaryota, Metazoa, Chordata, Actinopteri, Salmoniformes, Salmonidae. The transcript has 7 exons. The record is from RefSeq and is a predicted model, not a curated record.
CGACGGCCUGUAGAACUGCAUUUGCGGGGGUAAAUGUUUUUCAAUCCUCGUUUUGUGCACCUGGACAGGGGUGCCCAGGAUUUCAAGCCGGGGAUGUGCUGCGAUCCAAAAUCCAGAAAGUGGACGUAACUGGUGUGUUUGGAAUGGCGUGCAGGCACAAGCAUCCGCUGAAGUUCCUGAACCUGAAGAGAUGAGAGAAGUUUGUGGAUGGUUGGAUGCUUCAGAUGUAUAGCUGAUGUAUGACAUUGGCUAUGAUGACUGAUGUUGAACUGUCAUUUCAGGCUUGCAAAUGCUGUGUUCCUACUGGGGACCUGAAAGCAAUGCAGGGACCAAACAUCACAACGUUUCUUCACUAUGACAUUGCUUUCCAGCUGAAGCCUCAUUUACAGAAAAACAGUCCCGAUCUGAUUGUGGACCCCACAUUUGCAGUGCCAGCCUUUCAACCCUAUGCUCAUAAUGCUAACUGUCAGGUCACUGAUGGUACCAGGUAUGUGACUGGUAGUGCGCUUGCUGACAGAACAGAUGGAGAGGUUGUUCUACCGUGGAAAAUUUGAAAGACCACAAAAGAGAUGACACCAUCUCAUAGUGUUGACACCCUAACCGAUGCCCUCUAUUACAUGGUCUGGGAGAAGCAAGGUAUCAAUGUAUAACAGGAAAUCACAACGGCAAUACAACUCUGUCAGCAGAAGGUCCUGAAGGAGGAAACUGAGGCAAAGGAGGAGUUGUUGUGGCACUAGACAGCAUUCCAGGCAGCACACUGUCGGACGUGGAAGUUUGGACCCGUAAGAUAAAGGAAACCCUCACAGACAAGAGGACGUUGUCCCUUACCUGGCAGGAGAGAGACAUGGAAACUCUGGCGGAGCAACAUCGAGUCCCAUGCACAAACUAUUGCUGUGCAGCUCUCCAGAAAAGUCAGGUGGACAUCAGAGAGAGUAAAAAACAGAUCAACUCCUACAAUGGAGGGAACAAGUCACCUCAAUUCCCCCUAAGACUGGAGUACAUGGAUGUUCUCCAGCAAGACCAUCCAGUCUGGUCCCAGGUGUCCAAACGUUUGGGGGAUAGUCUGCUCUGGGCCAUGCAGCGUGCAGUGAUGCUGCACAAGGUCCUAAACGAUAUCAUAACCGCCAUCGAUAAAAGACUGUACUGUGCAGCCAACUUCAUCGACCUGGCCAAGGCUUAUG